AUCGUGACACCUCUCCGAGCUCUGUCAUCUGCCGCACCGCCAACGAUGACAGGGCCGAUAGGGUGGGGAUCGAAAAGCCCCCGCCUCCCGAUGCCCGAGAAACUCUCGCGGCUGAAUUGGAAAGGAGAAGAGAGAUGGGAAUU
RNAcentral lists this non-coding RNA (143 nucleotides) under Candidatus Glassiibacteriota. RNAcentral's name for it is "Candidatus Glassbacteria MoCo sequence". It matches the Rfam family "Molybdenum/Tungsten riboswitch aptamer (Moco RNA motif)". The record is from RNAcentral.